UACAGGGGUCUCAAGCGUUGUUCGGAUUCAUUGGGCGUAAAGGGUGCGUAGGUGGCGGGGCAAGUCAGGUGUGAAAUCCCGGAGCUCAACUCCGGAACUGCACUUGAUACUGCUUUGCUAGAGUACUGGAGAGGAGAUUGGAAUUUACGGUGUAGCAGUGAAAUGCGUAGAUAUCGUAAGGAAGACCAGUGGCGAAGGCGAAUCUCUGGACAGUUACUGACACUGAGGCACGAAGGCCAGGGGAGCAAACGGG
This 253-nucleotide ribosomal RNA is filed under the name uncultured bacterium. RNAcentral's name for it is "partial 16S ribosomal RNA". It matches the Rfam family "Bacterial small subunit ribosomal RNA", at positions 524 to 776 of the family's 1533-position model. The record is from RNAcentral.